RNAcentral lists this ribosomal RNA (2867 nucleotides) under Sargassum fusiforme. RNAcentral's name for it is "bacterial LSU rRNA". It matches the Rfam family "Bacterial large subunit ribosomal RNA". Lineage: Eukaryota; Phaeophyceae; Fucales; Sargassaceae. The record is from RNAcentral.
UAUUAACAAUAGGUGUCCUUUUUAUCAAUGUUAAAAAAAAAUCAGCAAUGCAGCUUGUGGAAGGAUAAUACUGCAUAGGAAGGGCGCAUGUUAGCGAAAAGGAUUUUGAGUAAGGAUUGACUUUUAAAGUAGGCCGCCAGACAAACCCGUUCCCUUUGGUGGAAACACCGUUAUUGAUUACAAACUCAACGAACUAAAACAUUUUAUUAGUUGAAGGAAAAGAAACCAACCGGGAUUGCGUUAGUAGUGGAGAAUAAAAGCGCAAAAGUUUUAAGUUUGUAUUUUUGGCUGAACUAAUGUGGAAUAAGGACCAAAGAGAGUGAUAGUCUCGUAAGCUGAAGAGCGAAUAUAUUUUUAUCUUCUUUAAGACCUUAAGAAAGAGUGAAGGUAGUAAAAAAGACAUUAUUUAAAAAAAUUAGUGGUUAGUAUUGCUAAAUGCGGGAACCACCCCGUUGGCUAAAUAGUCUAUGUAGAUUGAUAGUGAAUAAGUACUGUGAAGGAAAUAGGAAACAAGAAGGCCUUUGCUUCUCUGAAUACAAGGCCUGAAACAAGUUGCUUAAAAUGACUUUUAGUUUGGUUUUUACUGAAUAAAAAGGUUCCUUUUGAAUCAUGAGCUGAUGACUUUACGUUAAUUUAAGGUCUGAGCCAAAGACAGCUUAAUUUGCUAAAAGUAAGCUUACUAUGAAAAUAAAUUAUAUAAUAUUAACGUAAGACGCGAAACGAAGUGAGCUUAAGUAAACCAGGGGAAAAGCUACCGAAAGGUAGGUGGACGCCCGAAGUGGUGCGCGUUGCAACGCGCUCAUAUGAGUUUACUUAAGUGGCGAAAUACUAAUCGAACUUCGAAAUAUCUCGUUUUUUGCGAAAUCUUUUUAGGAAGGGGGUCGAUUUAAAAGAUGCUAACUAGGUAAAGCGCUGUAAAGCCGAUGGGAAGGAAACUUUUACUGAGGUGUUGCAAACUUAAAAUUAGGAGCAUUUAAAUAGGGCACUCAGUCAGUGUGGGACAAGCUACAUGUGACGAAAAGGAAACAGCCUAGACUAUAAAUUAAGGCCUGUAAAUAGUACUAAGUGAUAAAGUAGUCAACUUUACAAUAAUUAGUAGGACGUUUGAUUAGCAGCAUCUAUCGUUUAAAGAAAGCGUAAUAGCUCACUACUAUAGUUUAGUUGUUUCAAAAAUUUAACAAGACUAAGUGCUAUGCCGAAAUUAUAGCUUAUCUAUUUUUUUAUACGUUUUUAUACUUUGCCACGUUUAUUUUUUUAUCACCGAUUUAUAUAAAGGUACUUAGAGAAAGACGUUUGCUGGCGGUAAAAAUAAAUAAUUAAAAAAAUUAAAUAAGGGUAGCAAAACGAAUCAUAUAUAGGAAGAAGUUAUAUCGGCAAGAUAUGACGGACUAAUUGGUUGUGAAUAUAUCAGCUAUAGUAACGUUUAAAUUGAGUAAAGAAUCUCAAUGAUCGAAAAUUCUAGGUUUUCUACACAACUGUCAAAGAUGUAGUAAAAAGGCGGUCCCUAAGUUAUGUAAAAGUAAUGAUGGGUUGAUUUAAUUAGGGUAAUUUUUAAAAGAUUGCUCUAAAGCAGCUCUGCUCUAAGCAAUAUUCUGCUUGCUUAUCUUACGACGAACAGAGCUCGAUAGCCUGUUACAGGAAAUAUAUAAGAUAAGCAAAAAUACCGUACUAAAACUGACUCUGGUGGAUUGGUAUAUUUUACUUAGAUUUGGUUAUAAUCACUCGUAAGGAACUCGGCAAAUUACGCCGUAACUCUCGAAAACGGCGAUCUUUAAGAAUGACUUAAGGAUCUCAGAUAAUUGAAUUGGGCGACUGUUUACUAAAAACUUAGUGUCCUGCAAAUUUGCAAUAAGAAGUAUAGGAUAUGACGUUUGCCAUAGGCUGCUAACUUAAAUAGUUUUCUGUAACAGGAAAAUCAAUAAGGUGCAGUAACUGGCGGCCGUAACUAUAACGGUCAUAAAGUAGCGAAAUUCCUAGGCAUUUAAUUGGUGUCCCGCAUGAAUAAUGUAACGACCUGAUUGCUGUCUCGCGAGUGAAAACCGUGAAAUAAGAAUAUCGGUUCAAAUACCGAUUAGGUUCUCUAAGACGAUAAGACCCUUUAGAGCUUUACUGUAACUUAACAUUGCGGUCGAUUUUUUGUUUUAAAGUUAGGCGGGAGGUAAAAUACCGACACUGGAAAACCGCUAAAUGAUUAAUUGGCCGCUUUAUCCCGAUUUAUGGAGACAGUGUUAAGUGGGCAGUUUACUUGGGGCGAGGUCUGGCUAAAAAGUAACGCCAGAGAGCAGAAGGUAUGCUCAAUGUUGUCGGAAACAACAUGUAGAGCGUAAUAGUAUAAGCAUGCCUGAUUACGAGACCGACAAGUCGAGUAAAGACGAAAGUCUGCUAUAGUGACCCUCACACACUACGUGGAAAGGUGUGAGAUCAACGAAUCAAAGUUACCUAAGGGAUAACAGGGUAGUCUUCGCUUAUAGUCCAUAUAGACGCGGAGGUUCGCCACCUCGAUGUUGCCUCUGGUCAUCCUGGAGCUGAACAAGGUUCCAAGGGCGCAACUGUUCUUUGCAUAAUGACCUACGUGAGGUGAGUUUAAACCGUCGUGAGACAGGUUUGAUUCUAUCUAGAGAAUCGUAAAUAUUUAACUUAGCAGUAGAAUCCCACUGUACGAAAGGACCCGGGAUUCCGGGCCAAUGGUUUAGCAAUUGUUUUGUAAGAAGCAUGGUUGCAACGCUACGCCCGAAAUGUUAAUUGCUGAAAAACUAUAAAGCAAGAAACAAUUGUGAUAGUUAUAUUAAGUCGCUAAAUAUCUUGGCGUAAAUAGGCAGGGGGUGUAAGUCUUGUAAGAGAUUCAGCUACCCUGUACUAAUCUUCCG